Molecule: long non-coding RNA, 2415 nt
Filed under: Linum usitatissimum (flax)
Lineage: Eukaryota; Viridiplantae; Streptophyta; Magnoliopsida; Malpighiales; Linaceae
Description: long non-coding RNA (LUSI_LNC005963)
Source: RNAcentral
UUUGCUCAAUGUUUUGAAUAUUAGGAUGGAUAAAAUGCAAAACAAAAUUAGAUCAAUGCAUCUACAUCAGUAAAAUCCAAAUUCGUUAACGAAUCCUGCAAGUUCUGGAAUGGUUCAAGAAGCAUCCCAGGCUGUUGACAACUGUACCAUCCAUCCCCUCAAGGUUUGUAAUGACUCCUUUAAUUUGUUCUCUACAUUGGCCAAACUAAAGUUAUCUUAGAUCCUGAGACUAACAUUUGAUAAUAAGCCGUAACCACCAAGUUUGAUACACAACUUGAACUUUGUAUACAUGAAUCCUAAUAAUGUGGUUCAGGUAAAUCCUUAAUGGCAUGAACUGAUUUUGCCUUGUAAUUAAGCAGAAGUGUCACCAUAAAACCUGCAGGACACACAUCACCUAGCAAAGUGCACUCAUCAAGAAGUAUGAGGACUUUAUGUGCCUUGUAAUCAAAUGUGAUCCCUAUUAUGAAGAUAGACGCAUCCUCCUUUUCAAAUACACUUUUAAGCAAAUUACACAUAUAAGGUGUCUCGGUUAGGAAUGAAAGACACUGUCAACAAGUUAUGAAAUGAACUAUCUGAUGUUGAAAUGGUGACUGACUAGAAUAAGUUGGCAAAUUCAUGACUGGAGGCGACUCUCCAAACAGAAACCACAUCAACGGUAGUAGAGAAGCCAAAGACAAUACCGUGAAACAUAAAUAUAAGUAGUCUGAAUAAGAAAGAUAGAGCCAUACCCAAAGGUAAUUAAAGAUAACUUGCACCUAUAAACCCAACUAAAGACACAGCAAUUUCUAAGUUUUUGUAAUCUAAUUAGCAUUACCUAGAGUUCAUUCAAUAGGAAAUUCUAGCCAACCCAAAUAGAAGGAAUCCUGAAUUUCAUGGAAUCACCUAAUAGUACGUUGUUGGACUUCAGGUCUCAAUGGCUUAUGGUAAGGUGAGAACUGAAAUACAGAUAUGUCAGCUUGCGAGCAAAGCCAAUCGCAAGAGCACCCAAAAAGAGCAAAACCAAAGAACAUAGCACAGAGGUUAAAGAGGGCAACUCGGAAUAGAUCGACAUUGAAUCAACGGCAAAAGAAAACAACGAAUGUAAAACAAACUCGAUUCUUCUGAAACAAGGAAAGCAAAGAAAAUAAGAAGAAUAAACAUGGACGGUUUGUCCAUAACAAAAGUUGGAAGCCAAAGCAAAGAGAAGAUAAUUAUCUGGUUUGGCGAAAUUUUUAUCCUUCAAGGCCUGUAAUCACUUUGAUGGUGCUGGAUUGUGAUAUGUUCUUGAAAAUACUUGGCUGCAAAGAAGGAGGGAGGCGAUAUGCAUAAAACAAACAUUCCAACAUCUCAUUAUUAGAGAUCAUAACUUGUACUUGUGAGCUUUGUCAUUUUCCUAUAUGUAUAAUAAAUCCAUGUCUCAAUGCCUAUAAUCAACCUCGGUAACUGGUCUAGAGACAUACCCGAUUGUGUUUCAGGUAGCCAAAAAACUUUGGAAACAAAGCAUCAGUUAACAUUCUAAAGUGGAAUGAUAGAAUAUAGGUGAGUAGGCAGCAACUGAUGGGGAGAACAGCUAACACAAACAUGAAUAUAUGCAGCUGGAAUUUACCAUAUGGCCAAAUAAAUAAAAAUCGUGUUUGUGUUAGAUAGAUGUUAAAGAAUAAAAUGACCACCCACCAAGCUUCCUAAACAUUACAUUCCCCUUUUGUUAUAAUUCAAAGUGGAUAAUGCACCAUAAAAUUGAAGAAGAUACUAUAAGCCUCUAGCUUGAAUUUGGCAGAGGUAAGUUUUAUUCAUGAAAGUGAUUAACAUAGGGGCAAAACUUAUUACCUCCUUCCCUCCAUAAUCACUAAACCAAGCUAGUUAUAUGAUUCAUAUACAUUAAAAUAUAUGAGCAAGAGAAAGGUAUGAAACUGAAAACAACACCUGAGAUUAUUAGUAGCUGAAAUUGUAAAACAACAAAGAACAAAUUAAAAAAAAACCUCAUAAGAACAGUAUUUAUGACAGCAAACUAAAACUGGAACCAAGAACCCAUCCCAAUAAAGGAGCAGUGACCUGAGCAAAUCUCAUAAGGACUAAGAAUGCAUAACUCAUAAGAAGAAGGAUAUUAAUUUUUUUUGUCUCUAACCAGAGCUAAGGUUUUGCAUGCUAAAAUAUUAAUAUAACAUUAUUGCAGAUUCAGACGGAAGCAAAAUAGAAACAGGGGCUACAUACAUUUCCUCACAUGGAUCACAUGUAAGAUGGUUGAAGCCCGAACUCUUGGGAUUUUAAAUUGAUUCUAGGAAUUUGCUUUCCAACUUUCUUACUACGGGGACAUCUCGAUUGGGAGGGAUUUCAAAUCAACAAACUCAGAUUGUGGAUUGUGAUGCAUGAAGGGGUGCCGAGACUAUAUAUGAUUUUUGGAAUAUGAAAUCACACAUUUGAUUCACAGCCAAAAGA